CUCUGUAAAGACACACCAUUUCUCUUACUAUUACACGUACAGCUAGCUGAGUGUCUUCUUCUCCUCAUUUGGUCGGGAGUUGCUAUGCAGCCCCGCGGCCCUCGCGGCCCACACGUACAAAACUGAAAUUUUUUUGGCGGCCCACUAGAUGGCGCUCGCGGCCCAAGUGUGGGCCGCGGCCCUAUGGUUAAGAAUCACUGCCCUAGAUCUCAAGUGCCCUAAAAUCCGUCCCUUCUUUUUUAGGGGGUAGUGAAGAAAAGAAGGGCGAGUAUUGGGAUUGGGCCUUGGACUAAUCACAUCGUAUCAUUUCUUCCCCCCCCAACAGGAAGUUCCACAAGAAGCUGGGUCAGCAGGCGUGGCUGGUGGCGGCAAUCACGGUAACAGAGUUCCUCAUAGUGGUCAAGUACGACCCAAACACCCUCAUGCUGCCCAUCCCCUUCUUCGUCACGCAGUGCUGGUUGUUAGGAAUCCUGCUCAUAUUCAUCUGGACGCUGUGGAGAUUUUUUAUCCGUGACAUCACACUCCGCUACAAAGAGACCCGUCGGCGCAGACAGGAAGCGCCGGGCGAGUGGGACCGCCCUCUGACGGCCGGCCCGCCCACGCCCGCCCCGUCCGGCCGGAGCAAACUCAACGGCAGCUCCGACGUUCUGCGGCAGAGGAAGUCCUGAGAGGAGGAGGAGGAGGAAGAGGAGGAGGAGGAGGAAGAGGAGGAGGAAGAGGAGACGGAUGGAUGGACGGGAAACGAAAACAAAGAGAACCAUCACACAUACAAACACACAAACACACACACACACACACUCACAGCCGCGGCGGUCGUCGUGCCAACACAUGAACCCAGUUCCGCCGAGGCCCAAGUGGAAAAGGCACUUUUACAUUUUGCCGAAUCAUGUAGUAAUUUUCGUACUACAGGAACUUACCUCAUCCUGUUUUUGUGCCCGUGUGUGGACUCGUGGACUCACAGGGAAACCGACCUCUCGGGGGGCGAGACACGGCUGGAACUAAAGGAAGGGGUGGGCAAGUGGAAAUAGAGACGUAGAGGACCCACUUCUCCUUCCCUCAGCCGGACUCCGGCGGCCGAGACGCGUCCAGCCGUGUAAAUACGCUCGUCGUUCGUCCAGACGUCUUAAAUAUUCACCCGGGACUCGGAGCCGCCGGGGACGGGUCUCCAGCUCCCCAUCGUCCUCCGCUAUGCAAGCCUCGGUGUGAACUCGGGGUCCGUUUGGGCCGUGGACUUCACGGCCAUCCGUUUUUUGUUUUGAAAUGACAAAAUAAAAAUAGAGAAAUAAUCCAAAAUAAUCCGUUUCCCAUCUUUUGUUUUGAUAAUGAUUGGAAUUAAAACAGCGAGUGGAAAACUCUUUUCUCUAUUUCCUAUUUGUUUCCAAUGUGGGGGGCAGUAUGUUAGAGUUCAGUUCAUGUUAUUGAUUGGAUGCUGCAGCUGAACGGACUGUCACAACAUCACUGCAGUUUCAUGACGGAGUGAAGACAGAUUACAGAUUAAACUCAUGUUUCACUCCCAGGUUUCAUAUUUGAUUUAUUUUCUGUUUCAACAUUAAAAAAAUCUAAAACUGUUAAUUUUCUAUCUGAUCAACAAAAGAACCAGAAACAACUUUCUUCAUUUAUUACUGCGCAUGUGCAAUCCCCCCAUUUGUCCAAUCCUUGUUUUCAGUAUCCUUGGAAACAAAUUGAAAAUCGAAAUUGGGAAUUAAAACAGUGAGUGGAAAACUCUUUUCUCUAUUUCCUAACACAUCAAUGAAAUCGGAUAAUGGAUAAUGAUCUGUUUUCCGUUUUUUAUUAUCAAAACAAAAGAUGGGAAACGAAUCCGUGUAUCAUUCGUUCUUUCCAUUUUCAAUUGGCAAUCAAAAAUCAAAACAUGAAAAAAUGGUUAUUUUGUUAUUUGUUUUUUAUUAUAACACAAAAAAACGUAUUUCAAUUUUAGGCACAAAUCAAAAAUACGAAAUAGAAAAACGGGCCACAGGACUGAAUUUGAUUUUAAUAUUUAAUUGGUCGGGUUUUAAAAAAUAAUCCUUAAUCUGUUGUUCCAGCGCCACCAUGGUAGCCAUGGUUACCCGAACUGCCGCGUACCAUGGAUGUAGAACCGCCGGGUCAUGUAAACUCGACCAAUUAAAUAUUAAAAUCUAAUUCAGUCCUGUGGCCCGUUUUUCUAUUUCGUAUUUUUGAUCUGUGCCUAAAAUUUUUGUGUUAUAAUAAAAAACAAAUAACAAAAUAACCAGUCACUUUUUCAUGUCUUGAUUUUUGAUUGCCAAUUGAACAUGGAAAGAACGAAUGAUACACGGAUUGAAACGGAUUUAUAUUGGAUUAUUUCUCUAUUUUAUUUUGUCAUUUCAAAACAAAAAACGGAUGGCCGCGAAGUCCACGGACCUUGUUUAAGCUGAUUAUGUAAGCUGGAGUAGCGUCGUGGUAGUUUAGAGCCGGCGUGAUCCCAGGUGCUUCUCGUCUCCCGCCUGCGCUCCCGCCCGAUCCCCGUCUCCGACGCUCCGGAGAACAUUCAGUUUGUACAAAGAAAAUAUGAAGAAAAGCCAACCAUGUUCGGGUUAUUUAACCGGUGAUAUUAUGCUUGAUAGACGGGAUGUAGCUGAGGUGUUUUUGUAGAUAUAUAUCUAUUUCUUAUUUCAGGGUGAUGAUAAACAAUAGUUGGUGUCGUGCCGGAGUUCCUUCUCGUGAAACGAGGCACCGAGACACCGGAGCUCUAGAGAAAAUCCUCGACAAUCACACUGACGGGAAGUUCUUAUCCCGGAGACGUGCUGGAUCACAACCGUAGACGCUGCUCCGGACCGCCGCAGCGGCGUUCAGGAAGUUUUACGUUGCAUGUUAGGGGAAUAAAAAGAGAAUCAUGGUCAUUUUAAAAGGAUGCAGCAAUACCAGCUCUGACCACACGAGGGCAGCGCAUCGCUAAACAGUUUUUUUAAUAAAAGAGGCUGUGAAAAGUCGGAGAUGUUUGGCGACGGCGACCUCAGAAACCACCUGGAGUAACUUUCAGACUGUUUCAGAAACCCUGUGAUGGACUGACGCGCCUCGCGUCCCCGGCCACGACCGGGGUCCAACAUUUAAACACAUUCAAAUCGUAAUCGGGGUGAAAUGUACUGAUCACAACUGUAAAUCACGAAGCGUAUCGGAGCAUUAAACGACGCUCCGACUGGGUGUGUUGGACCGUCCAUGUUCAGUCAACACAGCAGAGCCGUCUGCCCCCGAGUGGCCAGGAGCGGUACUACUACAUUUGGAAACAGACACAUUUCCAGCAUUUAGCCAAAGCCGUAACCCCGACCCAAAUUACCCACAAAUAAGCUGCUGUUCAACCUGGUUUUGGUUCAUUUUAAGCAAAGCAGGUCAAAGCAGGUCGUCAGAUCAGACCAGUUACGGAGAGACUGGUCCGUGGACUUCACGGCCAUCCGUUUUUUGUUUUGAAAUGACAAAAUAAAAAUAGAGAAAUAAUCCAAAAUAAUCUGUUCCCCAUCUUUUGUUUUGAUAAUAAAAAACGGAAAACGGAUCGUUAUCCGUUAUCCGAUUUCAUUGAUGUGUUUGAAAAUCGAAAUUGGGAAUUAAAACAGCGAGUGGAAAACUCUUUUCUCUAUUUCCUAUUCGUUUCCAGUAUGUUAGAGUUCAGUACAUGUUAUUGAUUGGACGCUGCAGCUGAACGGACUGUCACGACAUCACUGCAGUUUCAUGACGGAGUGAAGACAGAUUACAGAUUAAACUCAUGUUUCACUCCCAGGUUUCAUAUUUGAUUUAUUUUCUGUUUCAACAUUAAAAAAAUCUAAAACUGUUCAUUUUCAAUCUGAUGAACAAAAGAACCAGAAACAACUUUCUUCAUUUAUUACUGCGCAUGUGCAAUCCCCCCAUUUGUCCAAUCCUACGAAUAGGAAAUAGAGAAAAGAGUUUUCUACUCGCUGUUUUAAUUCCCAAUUUUGAUUUUCAAACACAUCAAUGAAAUCGGAUAACGGAUAACGGAUAACGAUCCGUUUUCCGGUUUUUAUUAUCAAAACAAAAGGGAAACAGAUUAUUUUGGAUUAUUUCUCUAAUUUUAUUUUGUCAUUUCAAAACAAAAAACGGAUGGCCGUGAAGUACACGGACCGAGACGUCUCUUCACGGUCAGAUCAUUGAUUGGCAACUUUUUAUUACGAUAUAAAUAUAUUUUUUUUGUCUUUGUCCCCAAUGUGUGAUCAGAAUAAGAUUUUAUGCGAUUGAAUCAAUGAACUUUUCAAGGUAAAACUAAAGACAUAGAACGUGUUAAGAGUAUAAUAAGCAGAAAAUUCAAUGAUGUGAAGGUUCAGUUUUAUGUUCAUUAAAGAAAACUGAAACCAGCUCGAUCCGGUCGGCAACUGUUACCAAAAACGUUUAGAUGUUUUCAGGGAUGAGUUGUGCGUUUCUGGUGCUGGUUUUUACCUCGGUGCCGCUGUCUUACGUAGUCGACGCCGCAGCUGCAGCUGUGAGGUGAAUAUCGCUCCAGAUGUUCCUGUCGUGGACCAGCCUGAAGUUUUAAUGACACUACAGUCGUUUUCUGCUGAAUGUAAUCCCCAGAUUCGUCUUUUUUUUUUACAAGGAUUAUCGUCGUGCUCUUAUCAGAUUAUUACAUCCUCGACGACGGUGAUUUCCGUUCGUAUUAAAAGCAUAAUAAUGUUGAGUUGAUAUGAUACGCUGCGUUUAUCCAGACCUUUCUAAUUCCUCUCGGACGCUGUUUGGGGAUUCGCCGUGCACCUGGGUUCAGGCCGUGGACUGAUUUAUGUGCUUAAAGCUUAAACCAAUAAAAAUUAUGAAUUUGCACAUCAGCUCUGAAAUCAGAAAAAGCAGAAUUUAAAACUGGAUAAUGUAAGGAAACUAGAAUUUGAGAGAUAUUGUGGGUAGUUCCACCUGCAGCCGCUAGGGGGCGGCGCAUGUUCGGUUGUUUCAGUCACGUCUCCUCAGCGUCGAUUGACAACAUGCUGUAAAUGCCAUUUUAAUCUUGGUUUGUGUAAAUGUGAACGUGUUAUGGAUCAUAGAGAUAAAUAUGCUGCUGCUUCAGUUUUCUAUUGUUUUUCAAUAAAAUUCAACAAAAACCUGA
Long non-coding RNA from Cololabis saira (Pacific saury), 5056 nucleotides. RefSeq lists it as uncharacterized. Lineage: Eukaryota; Metazoa; Chordata; Actinopteri; Beloniformes; Belonidae. The record is from RefSeq and is a predicted model, not a curated record. The transcript has 2 exons.